This 1959-nucleotide long non-coding RNA is filed under the name Sus scrofa (pig). Its description in RNAcentral is "lncRNA (ENSSSCG00030034256.1)". The record is from RNAcentral. Lineage: Eukaryota; Metazoa; Chordata; Mammalia; Artiodactyla; Suidae.
CUUUUUUUUUUUUUUUUUUUUUUUUUUUUUUUGCAGUUCACAGAGGUAGGAGAAUAUUAUUUACACAGGGCAUUUUUUAACUUUUCAAAGUGCUUUUACCAUCAUUAGGUUUUGUAACGUGUGUGUGAGAGAGUGUGUGUGUGUGUGUGUGUGUGUGUGAAGCCAGAAGGUGUUUCUUUGACCUUAAAUGAAAAAGCCUAAGAGGAUUUAAGGCCACAGAAUUAGAACCCAGAGCCCCCUUCAACACUUCUCAAAGUUGAAUUUGCAUACAAAUUAUCUAGGGAUUCUGUGCAAAUGCGAUCAUGAUUCAGAGAUCCUGCAUUCCUAACAGAAUUCCAGGUUACUGUUGGUCCCCUGGCCAUACUCUGAGUAAUGAGGUUAGACAUUGACACAGGGUGAGUAUUAAACUCUCACCUAAAACCUUUAGCAAAAGAAAGAGAGCUCACCUUGAAAAAACCUUGAUACUGUUCUCAAGCAAGAUGAAAUGUCUUUGGAGUUCCUGACGUGGCUCAGUGGUUAACGAAUCCAACUAGGAACCAUGAGGUUGUGGGUUCGAUCCCUGGCCUUGCUCAGUGGGUUAAGGAUCCGGCAUUGCCGUGAGCUGUGGUGUAGGUCACAUACAUAGCUGGGAUCCCAUGUUUCUGUGGCUGUGGCAUAGGCCAGCAGCUGUAGUUCCGAUUUGACCCCUAGCCUGGGAACCUCCACAUUAAGAAAAAAAAAAAACAAAAACUAAGAAUCACAACAACAUAAUAAGUACUAACUGAUCCAGAGCCAUCAAACAAAAGAGAGUUUCUGACUCCAUAGCAAGGGAAAACUUUACAGAGGAGAUGAAAUUUAAGCUAGAUUUUGAAGGCUUGUUGGGAUUGUAAUGUAGGGAAAAUGAGAAAAACACUUAAGGCACAAGGUUAUCUAGAGAGCAAACACAGUGGUUGCCAGAGGGGUGGCGGGUAAGGGGAGGAGAAAAAUAGGUGAGGGACAUUAAAACAUACAAAAUUCCAGUUGCAAAACAAAUGAGUCAGAGAUGAAAUGUACCCUAUCAAAAAUUAUGUAAUGUUUUUGUAUGGUGACAGAUCAUUUUGAAAUGUAUAGCAAUAUUAAAUCACAAUGUUGGGUACCAGGAAUUAACAUAAUAUUGUAGCUCAGUUAUACUUCAAAAACAAAACUCAUUCAUUAAAAAAGAGAUCAGAUGUGAGGCAGUGCUGGGGUUAGGUGGCGAGGAAUUGGAUGAAGGUGGUCAGUAAGUACUAAGGGUGCAAUGUGCAACAUGACAAAUAUAAUUAACACUGCUACUUGUAAUAUAUGAAAGUUGUUAAGAGAGUAAAUCCUGAGAUCUUAUCACAAGAAAAAGUUUUUUCUAUUGCUUUAAUUUUGUAUCUGUAUGAGAUGGUGGAUGUUUACUAAACUUAGUGUGGUAGACAUUUCAUGAUGUAUGUAUGUAAGUAAAAUCAUUAUGUUCUACAUUUAAACUUAUACAUAGGUGCUGUAUGUUAAUUAUAUCUUAAUAAAACUGGAAGAAAAAACUACCUAGUAAAGUGAGCAAAUGCUGUUGGAAAAAUGGUGCCUAUAUUUGACACAGGGUAGCUGAAGACUUUAAUUUGUAAAAAGUGUAGUAUAUGGGAAGUGCAGCAAAGUGACAUAUGCAUAGGCAAAUAUUGCUUAAAAAAAAAAACACAAAUCAAGGGUUUGUGGCAACCCUACCUUUUUCAAAUGAUGGUUAGCAUUUUUUAGCAAUAAAGUAUUUUUAUAUUAAGGUAUAUUCAUUUUUUUAGGCAUACUGCUAUUGCACACUUAAGAGGUUACACUUUAGGGUAAACAUAACUUUUUUCUUUUUUAGCCACAACCACAGCAUGUGGAAGUUCCUGGGCCAGGGAUCACAGUAGUGACCUGAGCCACAUUAGUGACAACACCAGUCCUUAACCCACUGAGCCACCAGGGAACUCUUAAACAUAACUUUUAUAU